This 1902-nucleotide ribosomal RNA is filed under the name Triticum aestivum (bread wheat). Its description in RNAcentral is "partial small subunit ribosomal RNA". The record is from RNAcentral. Lineage: Eukaryota; Viridiplantae; Streptophyta; Magnoliopsida; Poales; Poaceae.
CCAAACUGCUCCUCUCAAGGCAGUUACAAUUCGCGUACGGCAACGCCAACUAUUUCCACCCAGCCAGUGUCAGUGCCACCUCCAAUUCUGUCCACCGACCUUCCAUAGGUUGGAGAUGAAGCAGACCGUGGUCCUGUACCCCGGUGCCGGCGUCGGUCACGUUCGCCCCAUGACAGAGCUCGCCAACGUCUUUCUCAAGCACGGCUACGACGUCACCAUGGUGCUCGUCGAGGAGCCCCUUAAGUUGUCAGACUCCGGCACCACCGUCAUAGAGCGCACCGCUGCCUCCAACCCGUCCAUCUCCUUCCAUGUCCUCCCGUCCAUCCAUGCUCCAGACUUUGCCGCCUCCGGCAAGCACCCUUUCUUACUCAUGCUCGAGCUCUUGCACUAUUACAACGAGCAGUUCGAAGCAUUCCUCUGCGCCGUCGACCGGAAAAGCUUGCACUCUGUUGUCCUCGACAUGUUCUGCAUUGAUGCCACCGACGUUUGCAUGAAUCUCGGUGUCCCGCCGAUGCCAGCGUCUCAUCUCAUCAAGGAACUACUGGAGCACCCCGAAGAUGAGAUGUUCAAGGCCAUGAUGAACAUCUGGAAGCGCAAUACGGAGACCAUGGGCGUUCUCCUGAACACGUUCGAGUCGUUGGAGAGUCGGGCGGUGCAGUCUCUCAGGGGCCCGCUCUGCGUUCCCGAAAGGAUCCUGCCUCCGAUCUACUGCGUCGGUCCGUUGGUCGGCAAGGGCGCCAAGGAUGAGGAAAAAGUAGAGAGGAAAGAAUGCCUCGAGUGGCUUGACAUGCAGCCCGACCGCAGUGUCGUGUUCUUCUGGUUGGGGAGCAAGGGCACGCUCUCGACAGAGCAGCUGAAGGAGAUAGCCAUUGGCUUUGAGAGGUCAGGGCAGCGGUUCUUGUGGUCCGUGCGCAUGCCUGCAGGAAGCGACAACCCAGAGAAAUACUUGGAAGGGUUCCCUGAGCCGGAACUUGACGCGCUCCUGCCUCAAGGGUUCUUAGAGCGGACCAAUGGCAGGGGUCUGGUCAUCAAGUCGUGGGCACCGCAGAUGGACGUGCUCGGCCACAGGGCAACCGGCGCGUUCGUGACACACUGCGGAUGGAACUCGGUACUGGAGGCCAUUGUGGCUGGGGUGCCGAUGUUGUGUCUGCUGCUGGAAGGAGAGCAAAGGAUGAACAAGGUGUCCAUGACAGAGGGCAUGGGCGUCGCUGUGGAGCUGGAGGGAUACAUGACAGGUUUUGUGAAAGCAGGCGAGGUGGAGGCCAAGGUGCGGCUCGUGAUUGAGGGUGAGGAAGGGAGGCAUCUCAGGGCCCGGGUAGCUGCUCUCAGGGAAGAGGCCAAGGCGGCCCUGGAGGAAGGUGGCCCGUCGCGGGUGGCGUUUGCCCAAUUUCUCUUGGAUGUUGAUAAUCUUGGAAAGCAACUCGGCAAUUGACGCACUAGUAUGUACAUUUAUGUUGCCAGCAUGUUGCUAGUCCCUGUUUUCAACUUUCAUUUUGGUUGCGUGGUCAAUAAAGUCACUACUACCUCCGUCCUCUCAAAAAUAUGACCCAUAUGGAUAUAAUUCAAUUCAUAACUAGGCACAUUAUUCUUAGAUUUGAUAUUCCUUACAUUUUAACUAUGGAUAGUCCAUCCAUUAUUGCCAGAAUAGGAAAACAUCAAAAAAAAGAUGCAGAGGUAACCUCCAGCGUUAUUUAUGUGAGGUGGAUGGGACUGGAACCUCCAAUGUAUGAAAAAUCCCACACAUAUUCUUUUUGCGGGGGAAUUUCAAUAGCUUUAUUCAAAUAAAGGCAUUUGCCCAACAGUCAGCCAACAUGCUGCUGGUCAGGAAGCUAGGAGUUUUGUCCAACCAGCUUUCAGUCACGUCAAUCGUGCUAGAAAGCUUGGUACAUAUAUGAGCCAGGC